UUACCAUGCAAGUCGAACGGUGACGACGGAGCUUGCUCUGUCUGAUCAGUGGCGAACGGGUGAGUAACACGUGAGUAACCUGCCCCCGACUCUGGAAUAACCGUGGGAAACGACGGCUAAUACCGGAUAUGAGACGCAAAGGCAUCUGUGUGUCUGGAAAGAUUUAUCGGUCAGGGAUGGACUCGCGGCCUAUCAGCUUGUUGGUGGGGUAAUGGCCCACCAAGGCGACGACGGGUAGCCGGCCUGAGAGGGCGACCGGCCACACUGGGACUGAGAUACGGCCCAGACUCCUACGGGAGGCAGCAGUGGGGAAUAUUGCACAAUGGGCGCAAGCCUGAUGCAGCGACGCCGCGUGAGGGAUGAAGGCCUUCGGGUUGUAAACCUCUUUCAGCAGGGAAGAAGCGAAAGUGACGGUACCUGCAGAAGAAGCGCCGGCUAACUACGUGCCAGCAGCCGCGGUAAUACGUAGGGCGCAAGCGUUGUCCGGAAUUAUUGGGCGUAAAGAGCUCGUAGGCGGUUUGUCGCGUCUGCUGUGAAAACCUGAGGCUCAACCUCGGGCUUGCAGUGGGUACGGGCAGACUAGAGUGCGGUAGGGGUGACUGGAAUUCCUGGUGUAGCGGUGGAAUGCGCAGAUAUCAGGAGGAACACCGAUGGCGAAGGCAGGUCACUGGGCCGCAACUGACGCUGAGGAGCGAAAGCAUGGGGAGCGAACAGGAUUAGAUACCCUGGUAGUCCAUGCCGUAAACGUUGGGCACUAGGUGUGGGGCUCAUUCCACGAGUUCCGUGCCGCAGCAAACGCAUUAAGUGCCCCGCCUGGGGAGUACGGCCGCAAGGCUAAAACUC
Molecule: ribosomal RNA, 843 nt
Filed under: Cellulomonas sp. RODSPM24
Lineage: Bacteria; Bacillati; Actinomycetota; Actinomycetes; Micrococcales; Cellulomonadaceae
Description: bacterial SSU rRNA
Rfam family: Bacterial small subunit ribosomal RNA
Source: RNAcentral